Molecule: ribosomal RNA, 305 nt
Filed under: uncultured bacterium
Lineage: Bacteria
Description: bacterial SSU rRNA
Rfam family: Bacterial small subunit ribosomal RNA
Source: RNAcentral
GAGAGCCUACGGGAGGCAGCAGUGAGGAAUAUUGGUCAAUGGGCGCGAGCCUGAACCAGCCAAGUCGCGUGAGGGAAGACGGUCCUAUGGAUUGUAAACCUCUUUUGUCGGGGAGCAAAAGACGCCACGCGUGGCGUUCCGAGAGUACCCGAAGAAAAAGCAUCGGCUAACUCCGUGCCAGCAGCCGCGGUAAUACGGAGGAUGCGAGCGUUAUCCGGAUUUAUUGGGUUUAAAGGGUGCGCAGGCGGAAGAUCAAGUCAGCGGUAAAAUUGAGAGGCGCAACCUCUUCGAGCCGUUGAAACUGG